RNAcentral lists this long non-coding RNA (587 nucleotides) under Mus musculus (house mouse). RNAcentral's name for it is "long non-coding RNA chr7:33996998-33997585". The record is from RNAcentral. Lineage: Eukaryota; Metazoa; Chordata; Mammalia; Rodentia; Muridae.
GGUCCACUUGUACAACAGCUUACUUUUCACAGUGGAGAUGGACAUUAUAGAUGCAGUGAAUAUGGGGAAAUUUUUAGCCACAGAAAUAGGCUUAUCCAGCACCAGAGCAUCCUGCAGCCUAGUUCUGCAGCCAAAGCUCUGGCCUUAUUUUUCACCAGAGUAGAGCAAGUGCCAGUGGACACAGUGGACAUUGCCCUGUGGGGAAUGCUUUAAUCAUUAUUCUGACCUUGCUGAACACCACAGGUGUCACAUUACCCCAGAGCAUUAUACAUGCAGUGGAUAUGAGAAAGCCUUUAGCAGGGCGUGCAGAGUUGUUGGCAUCAUGAAAUCCACAGCACAGUAAGUCUUUAUGAAUUCAGUAGAUUCAGGAGAUAUUUUCCACAAAGCAACAUCAGAAAAUUCAUAGCGAGUUCAAACCUUUUAACUAUGGCAUACAUGAGCAAUUCUUUAGCUAUAUAAACACCCUUGUUUGGAAUCAGAGAAUUCCCACAGGAAAAAUAUCGUAUUGGUUCACAGUAUUGGGCAAAUUCUUCAGCUAAAGGCCUAGCCCUAUUUCACAUCAACGAGUUCACACUGGUAGAAAGCCA